CAAGUAGAAUGAAAAAUGAAGAAGUAACCAGGAUUGUUGUAUUUAAUGUUUCUUUGUGGUCCUUUUGUGUUUUUUAUUUGUCUUCCUUGUUUUUGUUAC
This 99-nucleotide non-coding RNA is filed under the name Heterosigma akashiwo. The record is from RNAcentral. Lineage: Eukaryota; Raphidophyceae; Chattonellales; Chattonellaceae.